This 465-nucleotide ribosomal RNA is filed under the name uncultured Klebsiella sp. RNAcentral's name for it is "bacterial SSU rRNA". It matches the Rfam family "Bacterial small subunit ribosomal RNA", at positions 338 to 795 of the family's 1533-position model. Lineage: Bacteria; Pseudomonadati; Pseudomonadota; Gammaproteobacteria; Enterobacterales; Enterobacteriaceae. The record is from RNAcentral.
CCUACGGGCGGCUGCAGUGGGGAAUAUUGCACAAUGGGCGCAAGCCUGAUGCAGCCAUGCCGCGUGUGUGAAGAAGGCCUUCGGGUUGUAAAGCACUUUCAGCGGGGAGGAAGGCGGUGAGGUUAAUAACCUCAUCGAUUGACGUUACCCGCAGAAGACGCACCGGCUAACUCCGUGCCAGCAGCCGCGGUAAUACGGAGGGUGCAAGCGUUAAUCGGAAUUACUGGGCGUAAAGCGCACGCAGGCGGUCUGUCAAGUCGGAUGUGAAAUCCCCGGGCUCAACCUGGGAACUGCAUUCGAAACUGGCAGGCUAGAGUCUUGUAGAGGGGGGUAGAAUUCCAGGUGUAGCGGUGAAAUGCGUAGAGAUCUGGAGGAAUACCGGUGGCGAAGGCGGCCCCCUGGACAAAGACUGACGCUCAGGUGCGAAAGCGUGGGGAGCAAACAGGAUUAGAUACCCCGGUAGUC